Halichondria panicea is the source of this 353-nucleotide long non-coding RNA. RefSeq lists it as uncharacterized. The transcript is spliced from 2 exons. The record is from RefSeq and is a predicted model, not a curated record. NCBI's taxonomy places the organism in Eukaryota, Metazoa, Porifera, Demospongiae, Suberitida, Halichondriidae.
GUGUCGGCCUCAUCUUGUAGAUCUACCAAGAUCGUGUCUACCAGUGACUAAACUGCUCUGAUAAAUCGUUUUGUAAAGUCCCGCCCACCAGCUCUGCCCUCUCUGAUGUUCAACCAGAGUGGAGCCUGGAGGUAUAUGUCAAGACCGCAAAGGUCAGAUUGACAUCAUCUGCAUGGUCUGUACGUGUUCAGGCACUUAGUAACAGAACUGGCAGCUAUAUGAACAUUAAAACUGCAGCUAGAAAUUUAGCGUUUAUUGAUGAUUUGUAACAUUUAUAUCAAUUUGUGCAUGUGUUGGAGACAGCAUUCAUGUCCCCAAUGCUGUCACCGUAUAACAGUGGUUGUUUGAUUGUG